AUUUAUAUAGUUUAAUAUUAAAAACCUAUUAUUUUCAAUAAUAAAAUAGGAAAUAAUUCCUUAUAAAUA
RNAcentral lists this transfer RNA (69 nucleotides) under Cydnidae sp. ITV1034. RNAcentral describes it as "tRNA-Glu". Lineage: Eukaryota; Metazoa; Arthropoda; Insecta; Hemiptera; Cydnidae. The record is from RNAcentral.